GCCGUGGCUUAGUGGUAGGGAAUCUGCUUUGAGUGCAGAAAGCCCCUCCUUCAAUCCCUGGCAUCUCCA
Podarcis lilfordi (Lilford's wall lizard) is the source of this 69-nucleotide non-coding RNA. The record is from the annotation of a GenBank genome assembly. NCBI's taxonomy places the organism in Eukaryota, Metazoa, Chordata, Lepidosauria, Squamata, Lacertidae.